This 632-nucleotide ribosomal RNA is filed under the name uncultured fungus. RNAcentral's name for it is "eukaryotic LSU rRNA". It matches the Rfam family "Eukaryotic large subunit ribosomal RNA", at positions 24 to 664 of the family's 3401-position model. Lineage: Eukaryota; Fungi. The record is from RNAcentral.
CCCGCUGAACUUAAGCAUAUCAAUAAGCGGAGGAAAAGAAACUAACAAGGAUUCCCCUAGUAACUGCGAGUGAAGCGGGAAGAGCUCAAAUUUGAAAUCUGGCAGCUUCGCCGUCCGAGUUGUAUUCUGGAGAAGCGUUUUCCGUGCUGGACCGUGUACAUGUCCCUUGGAACGGGGCGUCAAAGAGGGUGAGGAUUCCGUCUUUGGAGAUGACUGCCUACGAUGUGUGAUGCCCUCUCAAAGACGCGAGGUGUGUGAGAGCGCCUCUCAUAAGGGGUGGUAAAUUCUCUCUAAAUCUAUAUAUUGGAGAGAGACCUAUCGCGGACCAGUUACAUGAGGGAAAGAUGAAAAGCUCUUUGGAAAGAGAGUGAAACAGUGCGAGAUAGUGUGUGAAAGGGAAACUCUUGAUGUCAGUCGCGACUUCUGGAACUCACAACGUUCUUUUGCUAGGAGCAUCUCCUAUGUUUGACGGGUCAGCAUCGGUUUCGGUGGGCAGACAAAGGCGCAGGGAAGGUGGCCGCUCCGGUGAUGUGUAUAAGCCUGCGUUGUAAGUCACCAGCUGGGACCGAGGAAUCCGGCUCGCGCCUAGGAUGCUGGCGUAAUGGCUCUAAGCGACCCGUCUUGAAACACGG